RNAcentral lists this long non-coding RNA (914 nucleotides) under Homo sapiens (human). Its description in RNAcentral is "HSALNT0198749". Lineage: Eukaryota; Metazoa; Chordata; Mammalia; Primates; Hominidae. The record is from RNAcentral.
AUCGCCAUGACAACAGAAGAGAUUUCUGUCUGUACUUCCCACAUUAAUCCUAAGAGAAGAGGAUCCCUCCAAGGGAAGGCCAAUGUUUGCCUACUCAGCAUAGCACAGUGGCAGGGUUCCCUGUAUAUGAUUGUGAGCACCAUCAUCUCAGACACAAAACUAAUUUUCAGCUGCGUGGACAUGGGUUAGCUCUUUCUAUUAGAAGUGAGCUGACAAUGACACUAAACGGUACUUAGCUCUUCUAUUACUGAAAAUCACUAAAGAGUUUAUAUCCCUGUCCUAGAGACUAGGGGAAAAGAGAGAGAGAGAGACAGACAGACAGAGAUGGAAAGGGAUAGAAACAAAAAGGAUGAAUUAAAGCUGUCUUACUGGGGAGAUAAUAUUACCUACCCCAUAUGGCUGUUAAGAGGACUAAGUAAUUAUUUCUAAAUCUCCUAGCAGCGCCUGAUACAUAGUAAGUAUUCAAUGAAUGUUAACCAUUGUUAUAUUUACUAUUUUUUUUAGAGGCAUUUGUGUGGCUUAAUUCAUAGUGCCUUUCUUCAACCUCACACCCCUCUGCUCCACCCCACAAACUAUAAGCAACAAAUGCAAAUACCAAAAAAAGGUGAAAUACAUUUUUUUCUGUUUUUAAUGAAUAUUAAGAAAAUCCAAUUACAGCACAGCUUAGGUGUGAGCUCCAAACUGAAUGGGUUUUAUUAAGUAUUUGAUACAGUCUAUGCCCCAUAAAUAUGUGUUGCAUUGAAUUAAAGUAAAUAUCCAUCAUAAAGGGUGCCCAAUUUCAGUUCUGGAGGCUUCAUGACUAUUUUCAUCUUUCCUUUUGCAGUUUGAGAAGGAACUCCUUUCCGUAAUCACGAAACUAUCAUUCUGAAUCACCUCUUAAAAACAUCAUCUGCAGUGACAUAAUAACAUUCCUU